This 951-nucleotide ribosomal RNA is filed under the name uncultured bacterium. RNAcentral describes it as "bacterial SSU rRNA". It matches the Rfam family "Bacterial small subunit ribosomal RNA", at positions 531 to 1478 of the family's 1533-position model. The record is from RNAcentral.
CCGGUUGGAGCGUACCGGACUAUGGGCGUAAGCGUGCGCAGGCGGUUUUGUAAGACAGACGUGAAAUCCCCGGGCUUAACCUGGGAACUGCGUUUUGUGACUGCAAGGCUAGAGUGUAGCAGAGGGGGGUAGAAUUCCACGUGUAGCAGUGAAAUGCGUAGAUAUGUGGAGGAAUACCGAUGGCGAAGGCAGCCCCCUGGGCUAACACUGACGCUCAUGCACGAAAGCGUGGGGAGCAAACAGGAUUAGAUACCCUGGUAGUCCACGCCCUAAACCGAUGUCAACUAGUGUGUUUGGGGGAGGAGACUUCCUUAGUACCGCAGCUAACGCGUGAAGUUUGAGCGCCUGGGGGAGUACGGUCGCAAGAUUAAAACUCAAAGGAAUUGACUGGGGACCCGCACAAGCGGUGGAUUAUGUGGAUUAAUUCGAUGCAACGCGAAAAACCUUACCUACCCUUGACAUGCCAGGAAGAUCGCAGAGAUGUGAUUGUGCCCGAAAGGGAACCUGGACACAGGUGCUGCAUGGCUGUCGUCAGCUCGUGUCGUGAGAUGUUGGGUUAAGUCCCGCAACGAGCGCAACCCUUGUCAUUAAUUGCCAUCAUUCAGUUGGGCACUUUAAUGAGACUGCCGGUGAUAAACCGGAGGAAGGUGGGGAUGACGUCAAGUCCUCAUGGCCCUUAUGGGUAGGGCUUCACACGUAAUACAAUGGUCGGUACAGAGGGUUGCCAACCCGCGAGGGGGAGCCAAUCCCAGAAAGCCGAUCGUAGUCCGGAUUGUAGUCGAGCAACUCGACUACAUGAAGUCGGAAUCGCUAGUAAUACGCGGAUCAGCAUGUCGCGGUGAAUACGUUCCCGGGUCUUGUACACACCGCCCGUCACACCAUGGGAGUGGAAUCUGCCAGAAGUAGGUAGCCUAACCGCAGGGGGGCGCUACCCGGUGGUUUCAUAAUGGG